Molecule: long non-coding RNA, 19907 nt
Filed under: Sorghum bicolor (sorghum)
Lineage: Eukaryota; Viridiplantae; Streptophyta; Magnoliopsida; Poales; Poaceae
Description: long non-coding RNA (SBIC_LNC004549)
Source: RNAcentral
GGGCAUGAUCACCUUCUUUACCUUCAGUUGUGAUGUUGUUGGGAUGACUAUGGAACUGGCAUGUAAUUAAACUGUGUGUGUGAGGUUCAAAACUACUUUGCUUCCGCUACUAAACUGGUUUGUAAUAACUUUGUUUAGAACUCCGAUGUGAUGUAAAACUAUGUUCUGUGAUGAAUGUAUGUAAUCUGUGAUGGCGAUGCUUGAUCAUGUACGAUCUUGGUUGUAUGUUGGUUGAAUCGAGGUCUUUUGAGAUUUCGUCGGACUACUGGGUUUAUAUGGGUUCAAGUCCAUUGGCUUGACCGCUUUCGUGGUCGCUAAUUCACUUGAAUUCUUAUAAAUUGGACGGUUCUGUUACAAUUGAGUUCAUAGAAUUCUCACAUUAAGCUCUAAUAAGCUCUAGACAAUUACCUAACCCUUAACAUGUUCCACGAGUUUUGUUGUCUAUUUGGGUUGUGCAGGAUUUUUGAGGCUUAAGAAGAGUGAGACCGAAUAUGCAGGCCAAAAGAGUGAACGACUAUGUCAACAUCCAGCUUGAGGGAGACACCCCCACGUGUAUCUAGAUAAGUAUUACUUUUCUUUCUUGGUUUUAUUUACUAGUAUUCGGAAAUAAAUAAAAAAAUGCAUAACCAUGAAACCAAACAAAGUUUUUCUUUUGAGUACUAUACAAUAGUUUUGUGUAAUCCUAAGUUUUAAAUAAAAUUUGAUCCAAGUCUAGGUAAUUCACAAACAUGAUAUGAGAAGGUCUGAGCUACUAUUCAUCUUGUUCCAAGUUUCACUAGAGUUCUGGAGAUUUUAUCUUUUGAAAAUCUAAAAAUGAUGAGAUCGUGUUUGACAUAAUACCUAGUGUCUUAUAAGAUAUAAAUAUUAAAACUAUGGGCACUUACUUUGUUCAAGCCAUUGUUAAUUCUUGUAGUUUUGGUUGAGAGAAUUAUCAUGAUCCAAAGAUCAAGAUCUUUUGUUUUAAAAAUAUAAAAGAUUCACUCUUCCGAAGUAUUAUUGCGUUAGAGGCAUGGGAGAAAAAAAAGAGUGUGAGACAAGAGGUAAAAAUAGACAAGUGUCCGAAGUAGAAUUAGGGGUACAAAGAUACCCACCUGAGUGAAAAAAAUGGACACGUGUCCGAUAGUAGAAUUAGGGGUACUUGGUGCCCACUUGAAGAAAAAGAAAAAAAAGAAGAGAAAGAAAAAAAUGAUAGCCCAUGGUCCCUCUAAUAGGCAAUAUGCCAGUAAGAGAUGACAAACUUUUCAAAAAGGUCAAAGGUCUUGAUCUAGGAGUAUGACAUUCCUCUCCCUUGCUCCGAGCAUUGACAUAGCAAAAUGCAAAGUAUGUUAAAACUUUUAAAGCUCUACUUAUAUAUCUUUCGAGAAGAAGGCAAAUGCCUCAGUUUUAUUAUGCAGACUUACAAAAAACUCCAGAACAAAGGUAAGACAGAAGAACUUGAGACAUAGUGCUUGACUUGAUCGUUCUGUUUUUCAAUCACUUAAGACCUUAGUGAUAACUUAAAAACCCUGUAGUAAGAGGCAUAAAAGUAUCCCCUGUUUUCUUGCUGAUUUUAGCUUUACUCAGGGACGAGCAAAGGUUAAGCUUGGGGGAGCUUGUUGACGGUCCUUAAUGCUCACAUUUAACCAUCAACUAAUCAUGGAAAAGGGCUUAAAUGCAACCAACACCUAGACUUAGGGUUUUAUCUGACAGAAUUCCAUGAGUUUUGGUGUUUGUCUAUUUCUGCAGGGGGUUAUCAGGAAAUACGAAAGAAAGGCCCACGCGUCGGGAUUACAUAUAGAUAUUAACGUGCCGUGCAAUUAUCUUACAUCUAGAAGACUCCAGAAGCCACAGGAAGGAAGCGGAAGCCGAACGGAGCCAGGCACUGGGCGCCCGCCCAGUUGACCUGGGCGCCCGCCCCCUGUUAGACUCUAAAUAGGAAUCUCUUUCGGGAAAGAUCUCCACCUACCUAAAGGAUCAAGGAUAACCAUUCAAUCAAUGUCGGUUUGAUCCAACGGCCCAUAUUCACUUGGGAGGACUAUAAAACCAGACCCCCUGGCCCCUGGAGAUCAUACCUCUUCUACAGAAUCAAAGCUAGGGUUUUAAUUCUUCAUCCAAGUAGAGAGGAUCCCUCUAGUUUUUCUAGUUCUACCUCUAGUUCAUCUAGUUCUAGUUCAUCUAGUUCUAGUUCUAGUUCCUCUAGUUCUAGUUCUAGUUAGUUCUAGUUGUAAUCUAGAAAAUAGGGAGAGAGAAGAGGAGAGCGGAGGAGGAGGAGCCGGAUCUGUCGGAUCUUCCUCAACAUUGUACUUUUGCAGCAACUGGUUCGUUCUUCAUCAUUCUCUAGGUUCUUCAAUUCAUAAUCCUGAGUUCUUUAAUUACUUUUAUUUACAUUCAAGUUAUUUAUUGGAUUCCCGAUUGCAUCAAGUGCUCUAAUCUUUGCAACAUUAGAGUAUUAAUUAAUAGAUUAGACGUGGUGUUUAGUCUUGCAAUUACCUGGAAUUGCACCCAAUCCUGCGGAAUGUUGUGGUAGCCCUAGGGUAGUGACAGCCCUAACGGUCGAUGUAUUCCACCUCGUUCGAAUCGGUGUUUGUAGGACCGUAGUCAGAGCUUCCUAGCCCCCUUCUCAUCUCUUUCUGUGGUUAGUGUUCUGAUGUCCCGAAAUAAAUAAUCUUUGAAGUAAUUCUUGAUUCUUAGAUCAACUAGAGAACUGUCAGGAAACUUCCUCUCUUCCCACCAAAAAUAAUUAUAUAGUUAUCCUUGGGCGAUCUUGAAUCUUAAUUAGUACACUCACAUUCCCUGUGGAAAAUCGAUACUCUAGAAUACUCUCGGGUGAAAUCUACAUCGGUAUCCGUGCGCUUGCGGAUUUUUCUGUUUGUAUUUAAAAUACCCAACAGCCACCCACUUGCGAACCCAGUGUACACCCAGGAACACUCCCUGGCCCUCUGAAUCGCCCGGACUUCCUCUUCUUCCCCAACUCUGGCCAACUUCCGCCACGAGCCCCCUUCCUCGUGGCCAGGCCAUUCCGCAAGGUAUCAAGCUGAGGUGAUAGAUGUUAGAGCUUCACCGUGUUGUCCCGUAGCUCAUGCGCUCGCUUCGUGGUCUUACGCACACGCAGGUCCACCGGAAUGAUGUUGCCAAGCCGGAGUGCUCGCGCAAAGAAGCCGUCACCGUCGCCAGCAACCUCUGCUACCUCACCGACCUCGGUGAUGUGAGCAUCGCACUCCUUAUCCCUUGUAGAAGCUCUCUAGCGCGUCAGCUCACGCUCUACUGAGCUCUCGUAGCCGGUCUACGUGCGGCCAGUGCCGCCGUCCGCCAUGUGUGUGGCCAAGGUAGGGAGAGGGGGUAGCAUGCCCGUAGGCAGGGUCAACGGGGUCGCGAAGGAGAGGCGAAGUCGCUGUGCUUCGUCGCGAGGGCUGGAACCCCGCCAGCGGCGGCCGGGAGGACAACCGAGCCGCCGGCAAGGUGAGGGACGAUGCUGACAGCGGGGGCCCGCUGUCAGCGACGUCGUGAGGAGGGGGGGGAAGGCGCGCGUAGUGCGUUGGCCGAGCAGAUGGGCCGGCCUGCGGGCCAAGCUGCUGGACCCCCCGCGGCACAGUGCCGUUUUUCUUUUUCCUUUUUGUGCAAAUUUAAAUUAUGUUUGAUUUUGUGUAGAAAAUUAUGUGCAGAUCCAAAAAUAGUGAAAAUAUUUGGGUAUGUUCUAUGCAGCGGGUAGAACAUAGAAAAAAUGUUAUAUUCCAUAUUCUGAUAAUUUGAGCAUGUAUAAAAAUUAUACCUUUUAUUUAGUAAAUAAACAUUCCUUGAAUUUUAAGAAUUUAUUACUAUGUCCAAAAAUCACCAAAAUUUGUGAGAUGUCUCUGAAUAUUAUUCCCUAGCCUCACACAAAAUUUGGUGGCAUUUGGAUAAUAUUUGAACAAAAUAUUAAUAUAUCUUUAAUUAGUAAUUUAGUAGUAAUCCUAAAAUAUUAGAUAAUAAUUAAUUUAAUUUUCCAAAUUAAUAGUUGAGUGAUUUUGGAAUUGGGUGAUGACCUAAGGUCAUUAAUCUUAAUGACCUUUGGUAUUUAAUUAUUGUUUGGUGUUAAUACUUAAUUACUGUCAUUAAUACUUAAUCAAGAAUAAUUAAGAUAAAAGGGAUUAAUAAUUAGUUGAUUAAGAAUGAUUGCAAAUUAAGAAAGGUCUUAGCUUACUGAUGCAACCUCUUGGGUAAAAACACUAAUGUGGUAAACAACCUUUAAUUAUUGUUUUAGCUUGCAUUUGUACCGAGAAGGAAAGUUGUACUCAACCAAAUCCUUCGUAUAUGUCAUAAGCGUGUCAUGAGUGUACAUCAUUUUGCGUAUAGUGCACGUGACCGAAGGAGCGACCGUUGAACCAAACCCCGAAGUCGGUGUUCUGUUCAAGGAAGUAGGAUCCGAGACUUAGGAAGUCUCCGAGGAACCCACUCAGCUCUGCAAUGAAGGCAAGCCCCGGAUGCAUUAACCCUUCCUUGAAUGUUUUAACUAUUUUAUCACUUAUGAAUUGAAAUUGCUGCAUUACAUAGUUAAGAAUUGGGUUCAACCUAUCUGUUGCAUUUACUACCUUGAUGUUUGUUAUCCUAUCCUUGGCACCUAUUUUAUUUCAAAUCUGCAUAGUAAUUCUUAGCCCUGCUUAUUAGAUAGGCUUUCAACUAAGAAAGUUUGAAUGGUUGUUGUGGAAUACUUUUAUGGUCAAUGAUGUUUCAACUUGAGACCGGUCGGUGGACUUGCUCUAAGAAUGGAGUUUUAAAGUGGUGUCUCCAACUGUGUCGAUUAAGGACCGGUCCGUUGAUGUCCUGCUGGGUUGAGAAUUUAUAGUACUAGGCACUUGCCCUCGUAAAGCACGGUCUUGUGAUUCCUCAAUGAGAGCGGCUACUGUUGACGGUCCUUAAUGCUCACAUUUAACCAUCAACUAAUCAUGGAAAAGGAUCCAAAUACAACCAACACCAGACUUAGGGUUUUAUCUGACAGAAUUCCAUGAGUUUUGGUGUUUGUCUAUUUUUGCAGGGGGUUAUCAGGAAAUGUGGAGGAAAGGCCCACACGUCAGGUUUACAUAGAGAUAUUAAUGUGUGCGCCAAUUUUCUAUCAUCUAGAAGACUCCAAAAGCCACGAGAAUGAACGGGAGGCCGAUCGGGCCCGGGGGCAGGGCGUCCGCCCAGCUACAGGAGCCAAUCAGGCUCCGCCUCGUGGAUCAUGCUCCACUGACCUAAAGGAUUAAGCAAAACCAUGUGAUUAAGGUCGGUUUGAUCCGACGGUCCACAUUCAUUUGGAAGGGCUAUAUAAGCAGGCCCCCAGGGCCCCGGAGAACAUACCUCUUCUACAGAAUCAAAGCUAGGAUUUCAAUUAUUCAUCCAAGUAGAGAGGAUCCCUCUAGUUCAUCUAGUUCUAGUUAGUUCUAGUUGUAAUCAAGAAAAUAGGGAGAGAGAAGAGGAGAGCGGAGGAGGAGCCAGAUCUGUCGGAUCUUCCUCAACAUUAUAGUUUUGCUGCAACUGGUUCGCUCUUCAUCGUUCUCCAAGUUCUUCAAUUCAUAAUUCUUGAGUUCUUUAAUUACUUUUAUUUACAUUCAAGUUAUUUACUGGAUUCUCGCUUGGAUCAAGUGCUCUAGUCUUUAUAACGCUAGAGUAGUAAUUAAUAGAUUAGAUGUGGUGUUUAGUCUUGCAAUUACCUGGAAUUGCACCCAAUCCUGCAGAUUGUUGUGGUAGCCCUAGGGUAGUGACAGCCCUAACGGUUGAUGUAUCCCACCUCGUUCGGAUCGGUGUUUGUAGGACCGUAGUCAGAGCUUCCUAACCCCCUUCUCAUCUCUUUCUCUGGUUAGUGUUCUGAUGUCCCGAAAUAAAUAAUCUUUGAAGUAAUUCUUGAUUCUUAGAUCAACUAGAGAACUCUCAGGAAACUUCGUCUCUUCCCACCAAAAAUAAUUAUAUAGUUAUCCUUGGGCGAUCUUGAAUCUUAAUUAGUACACUCACGUUCCCUGUGGAAAAUCGAUACUCUAGAAUACUCCCGGGUGAAAGCUACAUCGGUAUCCGUGCGCUUGCGGAUUCUUCUGUUUGCGUUUAAAAUACCCAACUGCUACUCACGCACUGGGCAUACUCACGUUCCCUGUGGAAAAUCGAUACUCUAGAAUACUCCCGGGUGAAAGCUACAUCGGUAUCCGUGCGCUUGCGGAUUCUUCUGUUUGCGUUUAAAAUACCCAACUGCUACUCACGCACUGGGCAUGGAGCGAUGGCGAGAGUAGCGUGUACCCUCCUGGCAAAUGGGCUGGACAGUGGAGUACCGUGCUCUCGGGUGUCGCGAACCCAGUCAGAUCUUGGGAAAGCUAGAUUUGGGUUGACAUAUGCAAGAUUUGGUUCUACAUAGGUCAGGUGGUUAGGAACUCCAGCUGGAUUGCUAAGCGGUUCGAAUCGUCGUUGCUCCCCAAUUGGGAGACUCAAUCCACUAACCCCCAUCAUAGUUAAAUAUGCAACUAAGGUAUAAACUACGGAAAAAUAAAAUGUCUCAUGAAGUUCGGAUCCCGAUUCCCCGACUCAGAGUGACAUGAAGCUAUGGCCAUCGGAUGAACAACAUUGUCAUUAAGGACUAGGAAUUUACAGACUUGUCUGUAAAAAGCAACUAGAUAGACUGUCCUCGAAUUCCUUGGCCUCUCGAGGUGAGCAAUUCGUGGUUAAAACUUGAAAGUAAGGAUGCACUAUUAGUAAGCUUUUAUGCAAAACAACUUAGCUCCUUGCUCAGCCACUCCUUGUCUACCCUAAGCCUGCAUUCCUAAUUUCUCCCUUUUUCUACCAGGUAAGUCUUGUUGAGUACCCUAGUACUCAGGGUUUAUAACCCCUGUUGCAGGUGAAGUUCAGGAGCCGACUUGUUUCGGACCCUGUUGUGUGACUGUCUUCGAGGUUUACGACGAGGAGGAAUAAGCAUGACCUGUGGGCAUGGUCUGUAAACUUGUAAUCUUUGUAAUUUGGUUAAAGUUGCUCCAUUGGACCUGGCCUAUAAUAACUAUUUGUCUAAGUCCUCCUUUGAAGAACUACUUUGUAAAUUAAGUUAUAUAAUGCUUCCGCCGUUUUACUCUGAAAUGCUAGUUUGGUUACAUCCUGUUUGUGAUACUACAAUGUCUUCGCAAUGAAUGAUCCUGGUGUUAAUAUGGUCACUUGCUAUCCUGUAAGGGUGAGAAGAAGAAAUUUUUGUUAAUUGACCAUUGCUACUGGUCACGACGAAUCCUGUUGUUACGCCACAGGUAGUAGUGGAGUGGGUGUCCUGGGACACUCAUCGGACUUCUGGAGUAGAUGUGUAACAGAACCGUCCAAUUUAUAAGAACUCAAGUGAAUUAGCGACCACAAAAGCAGUCAAGCCAAUAGACUUGAAUCCAUAUAAACCCGGUAGUCCGACGAAAUCUCAAAAGACCUCGAUUCAACCAACCAUACAACCAAGAUCGUACAUGACCAAGCAUCACCAUCACAGAUUACAACAUUCAACACAGAACAUAGUUUUACAUCACAUCAGAGUUUAAAGGAGGUUAUUACAAACCAUAGCAGUAGCGGAAACAAAGUAGUUUUGAAGCAACAUCAUCUCAGUUUAUAAUACAUGCCAGUUCCAUGGUCAAGUCCCAACAAAAGCACAACUGAAGAUAAAGGAGUGAUCACGCCCAUGAUCUAUUCAUCAUCCGCAGCUGGGUGAUGACAGUUAGCGCAAUAGUCGUGAUAGACGACAUCAUCUGCAACAGGGGUAAAUAAAACCUUGAGUACGAGAAUGUACUCAGCUAGACUUACCCGUCAUAAACCAGAAAUAAAGUGACACCAAGGAGUAUGCAAGGCUGACCUUUGUGGGCUGGUUUGACUCACCUUUUUGCAUAAAAGCCUUUGUUGUAGGUAAUUUGUUUAUCAUAUUCCAGCAGCAAGUUCAUUAAUUAACAACUAUCCACUAGAUUAGCACCUGUUCUAAGCAUACACUUGAGAAAUUAAGCAUUUCAAUAAUAACCAUAUCAAGAUUAUCACUUUGCCAUCAACAUUCUCAUCAUAACCAUCAAGUUUAUUUAGUGAAUUCUACGUUGCCGCUGCCCAAGUCAAGUUCUCACUAUCCGGGAGAGACGGCGAUUCUGAUGAGGACAUCCCAACCAAGCAUGCUCCCUCUAAUUCCAUGCCAACCUCUACACCGACUACGCCGGCACCAGCCCAAGCCAUUGAUAGAGCAAUUACACGUAGCCGAGCCAAGAAGCUACAACAAGAGGUGAACGCGCUACUUUGUGAGAGUUCUAUUAAUGUUAAUGAGAAUAUUAUACUACCUAAGUGUUCUACUUUGGUUGUGCUUAGGUAUACAUAUGAGGAGGGAGGUGACCUGGAUCGCAAGGAUUGGAACAACAUGGUGAAGAACGGACCAGUUGAAAGAAGGGCAGAUCGGACCAGUACGGUGCAGAACGGACUAGUUGAAAGAAAAGAUCAUAACUUUCACUUUCGAGAUGCUAUGAAGGCCCAUGACCACUUGUUGGAAAGCUCUUCGAGUCUACUUUCCAAUGAAUCUAGUGGAGACCAGUUUGGAUACUCCAUACUGCCUGCAGACCAGAAUUAGUAUAGACUGCUCAGAAGGUCAAUAGUCUAUCGUGACAGAAUGUUGGUACAACUUGCCAAGUAAAACUGUACCAAUAUACAGAGUUUCGUGGUGCAUGGCAUACGUUGCUGGAAAGCUCUUGGAGUCUAGUUUCACACCCAAGAAACGGUUCAUCAUUUGGACUUUCCAAUAAAAAGUUAUCGUCAGUUUAUUGAAAACUGCUCUGGAGGCCAACAGUCACGCGAAGCCAAUUCGGGAAUCCAUUUCGAGGGGACCUUUCACAUUGCCUUCCCUCAGAAACUCUAUUUCGUUUUUAUACCUAUCUAGCAGGGCUGUUGCUAGUAUAAAUACCCCCUAAGACUCAUUGUAAUCCAAGACUUAUGAUAUUGAGAAUACAAACCACUUUGUUCAGCUGUGUGCUAACAACUUCAGAGAGAGAUCUCUACCCCUUUGCUCUUGUGUUUUCCUUCGCGGAGAUUACAGAAGCGGCCGCGUCAUCAGCACCCAAUCCGUGCUCCUGAUCCUCGAGUUCAGGUUGCGUAGGUUGGUUCUUUGAGAGUGUGGUUGGGCGAAUCCUAGCUUCAGUCUGCCGUAUAGAGACGGUGGUUGGCUCCUUGUGCGUGUCGUCAGGUUGCAAUAGUUAUCCUCGCUGCUUGCAGCAAGUUAUCGGCUGAUCUUCAGCUAGUUAUCCUACGUCGUGAAGAUCGGGACAGCGACCUCACCAUCUGGUAUCAAAGCUCAAGUUUCCACGGUAGGAUUUUUACCCUUAGCUACAUAUAUAUAUCUUGUUCGUCCUAUCCACCAAAAAGCCAUAAAAAAAAUUUGCAUUAGCCCUUUGUUUCAGUCUGUUUUUCUUGUGAGUUUGGUUAAGUUUCAGUCCAUUAGAGUUUUGUUUAGUUGCUGAUCAUCAUAUCCUUUGUGUGUCCUUUGUGCCUCUUUUAUAUCUACAAAUCCCUAAAGAAAAUCUGAAACCAGUAUCAUCCUUCGCGUAAACUUUGAGCCUAUCAAGUUAGAACGCUGACGGUUGUGUCUUGUUUCAAAAAAAAGUGUGUGUAAGUGUUAUAUUUGUUCUUGUUCUUAGUUAUAAAAAAAAAGUAACAAAAAAAAGGAAAGUGAAAAAAAAGAGUUGAGGAAGAAAAGUUGUGAAGAAAGAGUAGAAAAUUCACUCUGUUUAUGUGCUCAAGUUCUGAAUUUUAUAUCAAGUCACACAAUCAGUCAUUAUCCAUCUUUGGUGCAAAAUUUUGCUUGGGUUUGAUUGCAACACUUGCAUCCUAGGCAUACUCCUUGUUUGCAUCAAAUCUGAAUUAUCUUUGCGCGUGUGUUUGAUCUAUUUACAUCACUCAUAUCUUGUGGUCAGCACUAGGCAUUGAACUUCUAGUUUGGAUUGUGGUUUAACUUUACAAUAUCAAGAAUUCAGAUUGCAUUCCUUGAGAAAUAUAUCCCCACCAAGCUCCACAAAUAACCCACCGUCAUAGGAAAAUACUGUUCUUGGAUUCUCCCAACCAUCAUUCUCGGUUACCACCUCGCAUUGGCCGUUGUAAUCUGCGGGGAACUCACAUGAGCUUCGGUUGGUAAGAGAGGUGAGAUUGUGAGAUUCCACAUAUAAUUCCCUAUUCUACAUAUAUUGUUGCUUUGCCUUCACUAAUUUUUUACAGCAAGAUGGCUGAGCAUCCGGAGAUUAAUGAUUGUGUCACCAUGGCAGCAUUCGAUGAGAUGAAACAAAACAUGGAGACGCUAACAAACAAUGUUCAAGCACUCAUGAACCGGUUGCAAAUUCAUCCUCAUGAUAAUGCAAAUGGCAGUCACCAUGAAGAUGAAGAUGAAGAAAGCGAAGGAGAAGCUGCUCGUCGUGCAAGGGAACGGCGUAGAGAGGGAGCUCCUGCCAAUGCAAGAAGACCUCCUUUUCCACGACGUGAUCAUGGUGGUAGAGGUGCUGGUCAUGGACAUGGGAGAGGUAUUGGAUUGGAAGAAAGUGAAACUGAGGAAGAGGAUGAAGAAGAAGAGGAUGAACAGCCCCAUUAUGAUGAUCGUCGUCACCGAAGAAAUCGUAGGCGUAAUCAGCACAAUGAAGAGAUGUUUGGAAAGUUAAAAUUCACCAUGCCCCAGUUUGAAGGAGGAUCUGAUCUUGAAGCAUAUCUUACAUGGGAGUUGAAGGUGGAUAAAGUUUUUCGUGUUCAUAAUUAUUCUGAGGGAAAGAAGGUUGCCAUGGCUGCUCUUGAGUUCGAUGGGUAUGCUCUAAUCUGGUGGGAGCAAAUAUUGAAUGAAAGAGAAGAAGCUGGUCAAGGUGAUGUUCGUUUAUGGGCUGAAAUGAAGAGAGAAUUGAGAGCAAGAUUUGUCCCCAAACAUUAUCGCCGUGAUUUAUUUGACAAGCUACAAAAUCUGAAGCAAGGAAGCCUCAGUGUUGAUGAGUAUUAUAAAGAGAUGGAGAAGGCGAUGAUUAGAGCCAAUGUAAUUGAAGAUGAAGAGCAAACAAUUGCAAGAUUUAUGUCAGGGCUGCAUCGGAAUAUUCAGCGCAUUGUUGAAUUUCAGCAAUAUCGUAAUCUUGUUGAAUUGGUGCAUCAAGCUAGCAAAGCUGAGCGGCAAUCGCAGCAGGAUAUGAAGUCCACUAGAGGAGUAUCUUUCAGCACAAAGAGUGCAGCAAGUGGAAGUAAAUUUGCACCCAAAGGAAGUGGAAGUAAAGGUACAUUUUCCAGCUCAAACGGUGGUGCACGAUCUAGCAACCUUGGUUCUUCUAGUAGCAAAGAGUUGGCUGCUCAAAAUGAGAAAUUCAAAUCAGCAAACUCAGUGGGUUCUUCCAGCAAGAGUAGUGGAAUUUAGUGCUUCAAGUGUGGUGGUCGUGGUCAUGUUGCAAGAGAGUGUCCAAACGCUAGAACCAUCACUGUGAAUGAUCAAGGGGAGUAUGAAUCUGCUAGUGAGGAAGAACAAGAAGAUAGUGGAAGUGAGAGUAAUCUUGAGAAGGACAUCUGUGAAUUUGAAUCUGGUGCUGCUCUUGUUGUAACUCAGAUUUUGAGUGUACAAAUGAGCGAUGCUGAAAAUGGACAGCGACACAUUCUUUUUUCAGACUAGAGCUAAAGUGCAAGAUAAGGUUGUCAAAGUGAUCAUUGAUGGUGGCAGUUGCCACAAUCUUGCAAGCAAAGAAAUGGUUGAAAAGCUUGGGUUGAAGCUGCUGAAACAUCCCCAUCCAUAUCAUGUGCAAUGGCUUAAUAAUUCAAGUUCUAUUAAGAUUGCACAAAGAGUGAAAGUUCCAUUCAAGAUUGGUGAAUAUAUUGACACUGUAGAGUGUGAUGUGGCGCCUAUGACAGUGUGCCACAUGCUGUUGGGAAGACCAUGGCAAUAUGAUCGAUCGUCUCUACAUUGUGGUAGAACCAAUCAAUACACCAUCAAGUGGAAGAACAAGGAGUUGAUUCUUAAACCCAUGACACCGCAGCAAAUCCUAGCUGAGCACUUGCAAAAGAGCUCCGAAGUGAGGAAUGAGAGUGCAAAAGAAGGAGAGAAAAAUAAUUUGAGUGCCCUCCACAAAUCAGUGAGUGAGAGCCAUAAGCCAAACAUGAGAGAUGACAAAAAAAGAGAGGGAGAGAACUUCGUGAUGAUAGCCACCAAAUCUGAACUAAGAGAUGUGAGGAAAAACCCAGAUCAAGUACUAUUUGUACUUGUGUGCAAGGACACAUUGCUUUCAGCUAAUGACUUAACAUCUGUCCCUAGUGCUGUUGCACGUGUUUUGCAGGACUAUGACGAUGUUUUUCCAAAGGAAACACCUGCAUUUCAGACUUAUCUCUCUGCCGCAUCUAUAAAAUUCGAGGUUGUUCAAAUGGAUAUGGUAACUAUUUGCAUGACAAUCAAGGGAUUGUGUAGGUGAUUUGAUGGCAAGUAAUCAUGACCUUGAGGAUAUUUCACUGUGCACAAUAUUUUAAUCAACCAUCGGCAGCGUAUCUUGAUAUCAAGUUUUUGCCGAUGGGCGGUUUUCCCUAUGACUUGGCGUCGAUCGAGGUAGAGGUGGUUGAGAGAUGUGUGAUCUUUACUGAGAUAUGAAAAUCAAGGCUGGGUUUGUUUAGAUUUGGUAACAAAUUUUUGUCAAGAAGAAGAUAAUUAUGUAAAGACAAUCAUUAUCUGGAGAGAAUUUCGGAGCAUUAAUGAUUUUAUACUCAGAAAUUAGGGGGCAUGUGUUGACACUAUUUUUGGAAUGGGUCAAGAUAAUUAAGGCAGACCGAUCAGCAAUAGAAAGGUUAUUGUAUUACAGCAGAAGGAUGCCGAUGAAGAUCAACCGAUAAAGAUGGUGCCGAUGAUAGGAGAUGAUCGGUAGAAAGAUUCUACUGAUUCAGGUUCGGUAUAAGGUCGAAAGUGGUGUUUGCUGGAUUGUUGCCGAUAAGACUUAUGGUUACCGAUGCCGAUGGAGGAGGACGUGAAGACUACUGCUGGAAGGGUGUAUAUGUGCCGAUGGGGCAGGAGCCGAUGAAGACUUUAUCGUUGUUGGCGCUUCUUAGCGACAGAAGAGAAAUCCGCAAGAGCAUGGAAGUACCGUUGUAGCACUUCACCCGGAAGUAUUUAGGGUUUCAUAUUUAUCCACAGGGAAUGGCAAAACGUCACAUAGACUCUAAACUAAUCACCCUAGAAGAUAGAAGGGAGGAGAACACGGCUAAGAGGAUACACUAAAGUGAUGAACCACUAAGUGGAAAGACCUUCCCACUACUUGCUUGCUUUAGGCCCAUUGAGAGUCCUAGGUAACUAGGCGAUCCCAGUAUGAGCACUACGCUACGACAGAUCAUGGAGGAUUACAAUGGAUGCCAGAUGCUGUCACUACACUAACACCUACCACUCUGCCCAAAAGCCGUACCACAUAUGAAGGUAGCCCACAACUUAGACACCAUGUCUACGAAGGUGACUACUGCUCUAGCGAUGCGUAGGAUUAUCCAUCUCUAUCAGGAGUCCUCUUACUAGAGCACCCGUUCUAAGAACGAGCGACGAUCCCACAAGCAAAUAUCUUUAUGAAAGUAAUUCACUUAAUGAAUCAAAACUGAAAUGUAACACAAACCUCGUACUUCAAGUAGUAAGAACGAAUGUAGAGGUUCAAGAAGGAGCGAGAGCCGAUUGGUCCGGCACUUGGUCCACCGUAGAGUAGAACUUGCUUCGACCCCGCUUCUACACUUCAUCUCUUGCCUCUCUCUCUAGCCUAAGUCUAGAAUAGCUGGAGCUAAACUAAUAAAGCACCACUCCUUCUAUUUUCUUCUAUCUUCAUAUAUUUAAAUGGAGGAGAGGGGGUCUCAAUUUAUAGCUCCAUAAGAUGGUUCGGGGCGAUCUAAAUUUGGUUGUAGGUGAAACCGUCCUAUGCAUGCUGCCAUGAAAUCGCUUGAAAAAGGUGGGACCGAAUUGCCGCCACGGGGGGUGUGCCCGCACCAGGGUGCGACCGCACCACUAGUGGGCCCCCCUGGCCACCGCCUUCUCGUGGUCGGUUCGUCUCUAGGGCCUGAUUCUUCUUGUGGUUAUAGAUGGAUCCAGUUCGGUGUUUUGGUGGGCUUUUCCAUUUAAUCUUCAUUUGCGCCUUUUCUGAAAAUGCUUUCUUGAAGUGCGCUUUCUCGUGUCUUUUGCGCCUUUCCACGUGUCAUACCUGAAAUUGAUAUUUACAACAAAGCUUGUGGAAAGGUUAGAUAAAAGCCCUAUCAUCUAUUUAUUUUAUUUAUAAAAAUUAUGUUUAUAAUUAUAAGACAAGAAGUGCCAACAAACUCCCCCACACUUGGUCCUUUGCUCGUCCUCGAGUAAAGUGCUAUGGACCAAAUGGGUUCAUCAUCCUUGUCAAAGAAAUUUGCAUACAAGUUUUUUCAAGCUUCACCCGGAUUUAUGAACUUCAAAGUGUCUACCAAAUCAUCUUGGGUAAUUGAAAGAUGGAACAGCUUGAAUUCAAAUCUACUUGCACAGUCCCUACGCAGAAACUUGUGGUUUUGCAAAUUUUUGAAAAGAAAGAAAGAGUAUGUUCCUUGAAUGACUCUUCUCAAGUCGCUCAAAUUUUGUAAGUGGUUCCUCACCAAGGCAUAAGGAUUUGAUGCCUUCUCCUUGAUCAUCCUACCUCUAAAGGCUUAUCUGGUGUUUUGGGUAGGUAUGGUAAUAGUGGAAUCAUACUUACCCUGCAUAUAUUGUCGUGUCAAACCUAGGACCAUACUGGAGGGAGUGCGCCAUACCCUUAGAUCAGAAUGUGCAUCUGUGUGGGAUUUUUGGUGGAAGUCCUAAUUCUAAAUAUUCUGGGUCACUCCUUGCAACAUGAAUCUCUUUUAUUUGAAUGAUAUGAGGAACUGAGAAGGAAAUAGGUGAUAAAUUUUUUUUGAACGGGUAUGGAUUUGCCCCGUUUGCCUUUUGGCUUGUCAUAUAUUUUUUUCUUCUUUUUUUCGAAUAGCCCAUUCCUUUAUUGCUGAUGAAAGAACACGUGGAAGAGAGCUUCAUAGUAAUGAAUGAAAGGAAUGUAACUGGAUGCGCAAUUCUCAGGUUGAGAUAUUGGCAUUUUUAUUUGGUGGAUAUAUGGGCGCAACUCUAGUGUAAGAGUUGGCGUAUUUUUGGGUGGAUGGAAAAAAACAUGUUGUACGCAACUUCUUAGUGUGAGAGAUGGCUUUAUUUGGUGGGUUCAAGUGAAUUCCGAUCUUGGAGGCAUGAAACAUCUCUCGACAGCGGUCCAAAAAUUUGACCAAACUCAACACAGAGUAAGCAGCAUAUGUAGAAGGUUCAUCAUAAAGAGAUAUAUUUGGCCAUUGGUAGGUAAAAGCUUAAUCAUUCAAGGAAUUUGCUAUAUGAAUUUUUAACUUUGUAAAAUAAAAAACCAAGUACUUUGCAAAGACUAGCAAGCAUCAUAUCAUCCUACUGUAUCACAUCCGUCAAUUACUUAGAUAAAAUGGGGUCUCUAACAAAGUGUUCAUAAAUUCACAGGAAUUUUAGCGAGAAAUAAAAGGGAUGCAAAACAUUUUGAACGAAGGAGACAAGUUGAUGGAGAAUGAAGGUACAAUAUUUAAACUUUUAUUUAUAAAACUUUUUUUUAAAAUUUAAAUGAGGGGAGCAUUUAUACAAACUGAGUUUUCAUGAUGAUGUGCUUCUCCCCCACACUUGUUUUCUUUCCUGUCUUUGAUUAGUCACAGAAAAAUAUAUACAUUCCAGAAAACAAGUGCUCAAAAGAAAAGAUAUUUUCAUUGAUAAUUUAGAUAGGCACAAUCACAUCAAAAGGGAAAAUGGUUGAAAAAGGGAAAGCGUGCCUAUUUUAUUUGUAGGGGGUUCUUACAAACUUUUAAGAACAUGCUCCACCCCUGCUGCCUUAGAGAUCCUAUGCAGCUGACCGCCAUAGCCGCAGCGCAUCUCAUCUAAUUCGUCCUUAAGUCCUUUGACACUAAGACGAGCCUUGGCUAUGUGAUCAUGAGCUCUCUCUGCACUAGUGUGGGUGCUCCUAUUGCUUGCACAGAGUGGGGUGAUGGUUGGCCCUUUGGGCAGCUGCUCAACCUCACUAUUGCUAAAGAAACCUUUAGGAUAUCCCCUGAUGACAGUCCUAAUGAACUUGUGUUUAGCGCCUAACGUUUCUGCUAAGGGCAAGGCUUUGCUAGCUGAAGCUUCGUCCUUACGAAAAAGUCCCUUCGCAUACUCUCCAUCAGGUUUGUGUAUCCCUCUAAUUAAAUAUGAGCGAUUAUCAUAAACGGGAGACGACAGAGAUGGCUCUUCGCAAGACGAAGGCAUGACAGUAGCUCCCUUGCUAAGUCCACCACCACCAGUAGUCUUCUUCUUCCGUCCUAGUUUGUUGGGUAUUUUAAACGCAAACAGAAAAAUCCGCAAGCGCAUGGAUACCGAUGUAGCUUUCACCCGGGAGUAUUCCAGAGUAUCGAUUUUGCACAGAGAACGUGAGUGUACUAAUUAAGAUUCAAGAUCGCCCAAGGAUAACUAGAAAGGAUGAGGGGGUUGGAGAUCUCGAAUGUGGUGAUGUUGGAUAGACCAAUGGAUUGUGAAGAUGUUGCAUAUGAGCAUGGAGUAAAUGAAGUGGCUAUGAAAUAAAUUCCAUGCUCAUUAAUGCUUAGAGUGAAAUCCAUGUGGUACGGUGAAAAUGAUAAAGUGAGUGUGGUAAAAAAGGAAAAGAAAAAGGAUACACGGACGACUUGGUUCGAAACUAGCACAGCUACCGUUCCCCGACAACGGCGCCAGAAAGCUUGUUGGGUAUUGUAAACGCAAAAAGAAAAAUCCGCAAGCGCACGGAUACCGAUGUAGCUUUCACCCGGGAGUAUUCCAGAGUAUCGAUUUUCCACAGAGAACGUGAGUGUACUAAUUAAGAUUCAAGAUCGCCCAAGGAUAACUAUAUGAUUAUUUUUGGUGGGAAGAGAGGAGGUUUCCUGAGAGUUCUCUAGUUGAUCUAAGAAUCAAGAAUUACUUCAAGAUAAUCUAUAUCGGGACAUCAGAGCACUAACCACGGAAAGAGAUGAGAAGGGGGCUAGGAAGGUCUGACUACGGUCCUACAAACACCGAUCCGAACGUGGUGGAAUACGUCGACCGUUAGGGCUGUCACUACCCUAAGGCUACCACAACAAUCCGCAGGAUUGGGUGCAAUUCCAGGUAAUCGCAAGACUAAACACCACGUCUAAUCUAUUAAUUACUACUCUAGCGUUAUAAAGACUAGAGCACUUGAUGCAAGCGGGAAUCCAAUAAAUAACUUGAAUGUAAAUAAAAGUAAUUAGAGAACUCAGGAAUUAUGAAUUGAAGAACCUGGAGAACGAUGAAGAACGAACCAGUUGCUGCAAAAGUACAAUGUUGAGGAAGAUCUGACAGAUCCGACUCCUCCUCCGCUCUCCUCUUCUCUCUCCCUAUUUUCUAGAUUACAACUAGAACUAACUAGAACUAGAACUAGAGGAACUAGAACUAGAACUAGAUGAACUAGAACUAGAUCUAGAUGAACUAGAGGUAGAACUAGAAGAACUAGAGGGAUCCUCUCUACUUGGAUGAAGAAUUGAAACCCUAACUUUGAUUCUGUAGACGAGGUAUGAUCUCCAGGGGCCAGGGGGUCUGGUUUUAUCGUUCCUUCAAGUGAAUCUGGGCCGUCGGAUCAAACCGACAUUAAUCGCACGGUUUUCCUUGAUCCUUUAGGUCGGUGGAGCAUAAUCCGCGAAACGUGUCCUGAUUGGGCACUGUAGCUGGGCGGGCGCCCAGAAGGGUUGGGCGGGCGCCCCGCCUCCGAGCCCGAUCGCCUUCCUGUUCGGUCCCGUGGCUUCUGGAGUCUUCUAGAUGAUAGAAAAUUGUGCAGCACGUUAAUAUCUCUAUGUAAACCCGACAUGUGGGCAUUUCUUCCGUAUUUCCUGAUAACCCCCUGCAGAAAUAGACAAACACCAAAACUCGUGGAAUUCUGUCAGAUAAAACCCUAAGUCUAGGUGUUGCUUGCAUUUGGAUCCUUUUCUAUGAUUAGUUGAUGGUUAAAUGUGAGCAUUAAGGACCGUCAACAAGCUCCCCCAAGCUUAACCUUUGCUCGUCCCUGAGCAAAGAUGAACUCAAGAGUUUCUGCAGUGGUUUCAUAACUUAAAGAUACACAUGCGUUUAAACAAGAUCUCAUCUCUGGUUAGAGUAAACUGUUAAGACUUAAAACUUACUCAUUUACCUUUCACCAUGGGACUUGUAACCGUCACUUAUGUCUUGAGUAGUUAAAAGAUAGAACAGUCUAGUCAAGCACCAUGUCUCUUGUUCUUCGAUUAACUAUAGCUCUGGAGUUUUUGCAGAUUUUCAAAUAAAACUCAGAGAUUCCUUGUAUGACUUUCUCUAGUCUCUCUUUUGUGGUAUUUCUGGAUCCUUACCAAGGCAGUAAUGGUGUAUGCCUUCUCUCAAAGUAUGUGGUAUUUUUGGUAUGAGGCAUAGUGACAUUGCCUUCUCUCUCACCCUACUCUAAUAAGGCUUUUGAUAUCUGGAGCUCAUAGGUGGGAGACAGCUAAUACAUACUUACAAGACAUUUAUUGCAUAGUCAAACCAUGGAUCCAGAAGAACAAGUCAAUAAGUCAAAUCAAGAUGUGCAUGUGUGGCGAAUGAAUGGUGCAUGGUAAUGAUGGUGAUAACAAUGGUGAAAGUCUAAUUCUACUAGUGCCCUCUUGAGGGGAUACAUACCUUUCUUCCUCGUUUGAAACUUUCAGGGAGAAUGAGAUGCUCUGUAUUUUCUUUUUCUUUCUUUUUCUUUUUUUUUCUUUUCUCUCAGGUGGGUAUCUUGUACCCCUAAUUCUACUGUCGGACACUUGUCCAUUUUUACCUCUCGUCUCACUUUUUCUUCUUCUUUUUUUUUCUUUCGAGGUUCCGGGCACUUGCCCCUUUUUAUUUCCUCGUAUUCUUCUUUUUUUUUCUCAUUUUUUCUUUAGAGCACUCAUCUCAUGAGAUAAUAUAGCAAGUGGUAGUAACAAGAUAACUUGAGCAUUUAUUUCAUAGGGAAAAAAAUAGAAAUAUUUUUGGCUAUUCUCUCCCGGAUUAGGAGUAGAAUAUUUUUGGGUGGUUCUGGAGAUGGAAAUGGGUAUAUGUGGAUGGUACUUUGUGGCAGAACCUCCUAAGUGUUUGGGCCCACCGACACCUGCCAUUGUCCUAAGGACCUCUGACGGUGAUGCCGGGAGUCCUCCCACUUUUAGAAGUCCGAUGAGCAUUGCUGGGCGCUCAUUCCACUGUUACCUGUGGCGUACCAAGCUGGCUCGUCCUGACCACUGGUAAUGGUCAAACAACGAGAACUGCUUCUUCUCGCCCUUACAGGAUAGCAAGUGGCCACCUUAACACCAGGAUCAUUCGUUGCGAAGAUAAAGCAGUAACUCAACGACACAAGACCAAAAUAACCUUUCAGAGUGAAACAGCGGAAGUAUUACAUAACUUAAUUUAUAAAAGGAGUUCUUCCAAAUAGUAGAGUGUUAUUACAAGCCUGGUCCAGCGGAGCAACAGAGACUUUAGUACAGACAGAACAAAUUUACAGACCCUGCCCAUGGGUCGCGCUCAUUCUUCUUCGUCGUCAACCUCGACGACGGUCACACAACAGGGUCCGAAACAAGUCGGCUCCUGAGCUUCACCUGCAACAGGGGUAUUGAAACCCUGAGUACGGGAGUACUCAACAAGACUUAUCCGACGGGAAAAGAGGAGAAUUUAGGGAUGCAGGCUUAGGGUAGACAAGGGGUGGCUGAGCAAGGAGCCAAAGUGUUUUGCGUAAAGCUUACUAGUAGUGCAUCCUUAUUUUCAAGUUUUACCCCGAAUUCCUCCCUCGCAGAGGCAGAGGAAUUCGAGGAUAGUCUAACUGGUUGUUCCCCAUAGACGAAUCCGUGAGUUCCUAGUCCUAUCAUUAAGUAUUAUUCAUCGAUGGCCAUAGCUUCAUGUCGCUAUGAGUCCGGGAAUUGGGAUCCGAACCUCAUAAGACAUUUUCCCCUUUCUCAUUUUAUCACUU